UACGGAGGUCUCAAGCGUUGUUCGGAUUCAUUGGGCGUAAAGGGUGCGUAGGCGGCGCGGUAAGUCGGGUGUGAAAUCUCGGAGCUUAACUCCGAAACUGCAUUCGAUACUGCCGUGCUUGAGGACUGGAGAGGAGACUGGAAUUUACGGUGUAGCGGUGAAAUGCGUAGAUAUCGUAAGGAAGACCAGUGGCGAAGGCGGGUCUCUGGACAGUUCCUGACGCUGAGGCACGAAGGUCAGGGGAGCAAACGGG
RNAcentral lists this ribosomal RNA (253 nucleotides) under uncultured bacterium. Its description in RNAcentral is "partial 16S ribosomal RNA". It matches the Rfam family "Bacterial small subunit ribosomal RNA", at positions 524 to 776 of the family's 1533-position model. The record is from RNAcentral.